This 79-nucleotide transfer RNA is filed under the name Cotesia glomerata. RNAcentral describes it as "tRNA-Ala". It matches the Rfam family "tRNA". From Rfam's summary of the family: Transfer RNA (tRNA) molecules are approximately 80 nucleotides in length. Lineage: Eukaryota; Metazoa; Arthropoda; Insecta; Hymenoptera; Braconidae. The record is from RNAcentral.
UCUCAGAUAGCUUAAUUGGUAGAGCGUUGGGCGCGCAACUAAACAAUCCGGGUUCGAGUCCCGGUCUGAAUUGUCAGAA